CCUGAGCUGAGCCAGCCCAUAUGUCAGCAGUUGGCGCUCGAGCAGCAGGAAGAGCUGGGCAGAAGUUCAGGUCCCUGGUCUGUUGCCCCUGUUCCUGCACUGGAAUCAUCCGUAGCUGCCCCCACCUACCUCCUCUCCCCUCCCCAGAGACUGGAGACCUGCAGCUGCAGGGGAAGGGGCUUCACCUAGGACCUGAGUGCUGGGCCUUAGAGCUGCCCUGCUAAAAACUGACUACUGGCUGUGACUGGACUACAAAUCCCAGAGGCACCUGGAAGCAGGAAGAAGAAGUGAUGAGCAACCCUGCAGAGUCCUGCUGCUGUCGUUCUGGACUGCAAAUCCCAGAGACCUCAGGGGCAGCAGGAAGAAGAAGUGAACACACAGCCCAUGCUGGUUACAUGCCAGAGAGCCAUGCUCUAGUAUCCCCCCAGCAUCUACCUGAGCCACUGCAGCUAUUCAUAUGGUCCCCAUUAUCAUGGCAAUUGUAUGCCUGGAAAUCUUUUGGAGACUUAUUUGUACAGCACUCAUGGAAGACUGAGAAUUUUUUUCAUCCCUUUUUGUAGAUCGGACAUCAACAGGCUAAAUGAUGUAGAAUAGAGAGAAAUGCUAGAGGAACUGGUGUUGAAAUGUCAGGUGAGGGUUAAAGUACCACUACCUUCGGUAUCAAGGAUGACUGUAAAAUUCUUUGCUGACAGAAGCCAAACCCUAACUAGUUUCAAAUGAGCAGGGAGAUAAUCGGAAGAGCUGUGCAAAACUUUUCAUCCAAAACUUUUUAAAUAAAAAAUAAAACGAGUUUCUGGUUGACUUCAUCAUUUCACAAAUUUGUUUUGAUUUUGCCAACUUGUUUCAAGUGAUUAAAAAUGCUGUUACAUCUGGAAAAGGGGAUGCUCUGUUUUGACAGGUUUGUGAUGAAACAUUUUGCUCUGCACUUCAAAAUAAUAUUUUGCUUUGUAACAAUACAUUUUUAAUGCAAAUUUGUAUUUUGUAAUUUGUUUUAAAAAAUCAGAAAAAUAUUUAAUUGGAGUUGAGCUAAAUAUUUUGUUGAAUAAGAAAGGAAUUAUUUCAGCGCUGCUAAUCCAAAAACCAGCUCUGUUAAUCAGGCUCUUGUGGAGCAUGCAACAAGCUGCUGAGCAACAGGUACUUCCUAAAGAGAUAGGAAGGCAUUUAAGAAGGGAGAGCUUCAUGCUCUUUUGUUGUCAUAGGGUUUCUCUGUCUCCUAGUCUGGUAGAAACAUAUUCCUGUUUGUUCGUUUGUUUGUUUGUAAUCAAAAUGAUCAAAACCUCAGAAGUAAAACACGGAAGAGGAAAACUUAUUGACUGAGCUAGUUUAUCUAUUCACUUUCCCAUCUGCCUGUGGAACAUUUUGGAUUGCUGGUUUGAAAUAAGAAUUUUAAAUAGGUUUGAAAUAAGAAUCUUCUCUUGCAUUGCAUGGAAUGAAUUCUGAAAGUCUUUGUAUGACUGGCCGGUUCUGGUUUUCAAUGAACUGCUAUGAUCCCUAUUUGAAGCUUCCUCCAAAGCAUGAACAGAUUAAAAGAAAGUGUGAAAUAGAAUAAGAAGAGUACAUAAAAAUGAAUUGCUACAAGAUAAUUUGUAGUGAUUUGAAUUUCUCCCCUACCACCUGAUUCUUUCCAUAUUAAAAGCAAAUGAAAACCCAGAGCUAGUGUAGUCAAACUUUUUUCAGAUGGGAAUGUUAAAUACAGAUUCAAGAAGCACACACAGCACACAGUCCUAUUCUACUUCCACUACACCACCAGGCCAAGAUUAUCACUCAAAUUUAAACUGAGCAGGUUAAAAAGUAAACCACUUAGAGGUGGGGCUAAUGGUUGAAACAGAAAGAUUUUUCUUUGUGGAAAAAUCUGGGAUUAACCACAUUCGGGGAUGUUUAAUGUCACUAUCUCUGAGCCUGCUAGGAGCUCUGUGUAAGUGUAAAAGUUUGUCACUUUGAGGGACAUCAUCAAAGUGAAAACCUGUUUUUGUUUGGGGAAAAAAAAUCUCUUGUUUACAUAGGCACUGUUAACAU
This is a long non-coding RNA of Alligator mississippiensis (American alligator), 2016 nucleotides long. RefSeq lists it as uncharacterized. The transcript has 3 exons. The record is from RefSeq and is a predicted model, not a curated record. NCBI's taxonomy places the organism in Eukaryota, Metazoa, Chordata, Crocodylia, Alligatoridae.